UGAGGAAUAUUGGUCAAUGGGCGGGAGCCUGAACCAGCCAAGUCGCGUGAGGGAUGAAGGUUCUAUGGAUCGUAAACCUCUUUUGUCAGGGAACAAAAGCGAGUAUGUAUACUAGUCUGAGUGUACCUGAAGAAAAAGCAUCGGCUAACUCCGUGCCAGCAGCCGCGGUAAUACGGAGGAUGCGAGCGUUAUCCGGAUUUAUUGGGUUUAAAGGGUGCGUAGGCGGCGGUGCAAGUCAGCGGUAAAAGCCCGGGGCUCAACCCCGGCGAGCCGUUGAAACUGGCUGGCUGGAGUUGGCGAGAGGUAUGUGGAAUGCGCGGUGUAGCGGUGAAAUGCUUAGAUAUUGCGCAGAACUCCGAUUGCGAAGGCAGCGUACUGGCGCCUGACUGACGCUGAGGCACGAAAGCGUGGGGAUCGAACAGGAUUAGAUACC
This 433-nucleotide ribosomal RNA is filed under the name uncultured bacterium. RNAcentral's name for it is "bacterial SSU rRNA". It matches the Rfam family "Bacterial small subunit ribosomal RNA", at positions 355 to 786 of the family's 1533-position model. The record is from RNAcentral.